GUUACAAUUUUACCACUUGAGAAUUGUUUCUUUUUUUCUUGUUAGUUUCUUCUUCUCAUAAGGGUCCAUUGCUUGGUGCAAUAGUAAAAGGCUUGGGCUGACAAGCGUAAUGGCAUAAGUUUGAGUCCUGGAGCAGCCACUGUGCAAAAAAAAUGCCAAAGGUCAGGUAUGUCCUUAGUUUUCCCUGCUUAGGAGCAGAUCGCUGGGACUAUAAUUGGGUAAUGGCCUUUUUUUUUCUAGCUUGGGCUUCUCUUCUUUGGCCAUUUCAAAGCUAUUUCUAGUUCAAACUUUUUAUAUAAAAAGAAGAAACAUCCGACCUAUAGUAGAUCCGAACCGGACUGCCAGUUGGACUGAAACCUGGUGAAAUGGGUACAAGUCUAGUUUAGUCUCAAAGAAGACUAUGUUUGCAUUUGACCUGGUGAAACCUGCCAGACGCAGUCAGGUUUUGCAUGAUUCAGUCGACUAGAGGGGUUCCAGGGACAUGGAUCAGUCAUUUUCUUGAAAAGAAAAUCUGCUCUAAAGCUAGUAUGACAAGUGAAUUGAACAAUGUAACUGUUGCAAGAAGCUUAGUUUUCUUAGCCACUAAG
Molecule: long non-coding RNA, 587 nt
Filed under: Phoenix dactylifera (date palm)
Lineage: Eukaryota; Viridiplantae; Streptophyta; Magnoliopsida; Arecales; Arecaceae
Description: long non-coding RNA (PDAC_LNC020231)
Source: RNAcentral